RNAcentral lists this ribosomal RNA (1752 nucleotides) under Salmonella enterica. RNAcentral describes it as "partial 23S ribosomal RNA". It matches the Rfam family "Bacterial large subunit ribosomal RNA", at positions 1067 to 2802 of the family's 2925-position model. Lineage: Bacteria; Pseudomonadati; Pseudomonadota; Gammaproteobacteria; Enterobacterales; Enterobacteriaceae. The record is from RNAcentral.
GAAACGAUGUGGGAAGGCCCAGACAGCCAGGAUGUUGGCUUAGAAGCAGCCAUCAUUUAAAGAAAGCGUAAUAGCUCACUGGUCGAGUCGGCCUGCGCGGAAGAUGUAACGGGGCUAAACCAUGCACCGAAGCUGCGGCAGCGACACUGUGUGUUGUUGGGUAGGGGAGCGUUCUGUAAGCCUGUGAAGGUGUGUCGUGAGGCAUGCUGGAGGUAUCAGAAGUGCGAAUGCUGACAUAAGUAACGAUAAAGCGGGUGAAAAGCCCGCUCGCCGGAAGACCAAGGGUUCCUGUCCAACGUUAAUCGGGGCAGGGUGAGUCGACCCCUAAGGCGAGGCCGAAAGGCGUAGUCGAUGGGAAACGGGUUAAUAUUCCCGUACUUGGUGUUACUGCGAAGGGGGGACGGAGAAGGCUAUGUUGGCCGGGCGACGGUUGUCCCGGUUUAAGCGUGUAGGUGUGUGUUCCAGGUAAAUCCGGUUCACUUUAACACUGAGGCGUGACGACGAGGCACUACGGUGCUGAAGCAACAAAUGCCCUGCUUCCAGGAAAAGCCUCUAAGCAUCAGGUAACAUCAAAUCGUACCCCAAACCGACACAGGUGGUCAGGUAGAGAAUACCAAGGCGCUUGAGAGAACUCGGGUGAAGGAACUAGGCAAAAUGGUGCCGUAACUUCGGGAGAAGGCACGCUGACACGUAGGUGAAGUGAUUUACUCAUGGAGCUGAAGUCAGUCGAAGAUACCAGCUGGCUGCAACUGUUUAUUAAAAACACAGCACUGUGCAAACACGAAAGUGGACGUAUACGGUGUGACGCCUGCCCGGUGCCGGAAGGUUAAUUGAUGGGGUCAGCGCAAGCGAAGCUCCUGAUCGAAGCCCCGGUAAACGGCGGCCGUAACUAUAACGGUCCUAAGGUAGCGAAAUUCCUUGUCGGGUAAGUUCCGACCUGCACGAAUGGCGUAAUGAUGGCCAGGCUGUCUCCACCCGAGACUCAGUGAAAUUGAACUCGCUGUGAAGAUGCAGUGUACCCGCGGCAAGACGGAAAGACCCCGUGAACCUUUACUAUAGCUUGACACUGAACAUUGAGCCUUGAUGUGUAGGAUAGGUGGGAGGCUUUGAAGUGUGGACGCCAGUCUGCAUGGAGCCGACCUUGAAAUACCACCCUUUAAUGUUUGAUGUUCUAACGUGGACCCGUUACCCGGGUUGCGGACAGUGUCUGGUGGGUAGUUUGACUGGGGCGGUCUCCUCCUAAAGAGUAACGGAGGAGCACGAAGGUUGGCUAAUCCUGGUCGGACAUCAGGAGGUUAGUGCAAUGGCAUAAGCCAGCUUGACUGCGAGCGUGACGGCGCGAGCAGGUGCGAAAGCAGGUCAUAGUGAUCCGGUGGUUCUGAAUGGAAGGGCCAUCGCUCAACGGAUAAAAGGUACUCCGGGGAUAACAGGCUGAUACCGCCCAAGAGUUCAUAUCGACGGCGGUGUUUGGCACCUCGAUGUCGGCUCAUCACAUCCUGGGGCUGAAGUAGGUCCCAAGGGUAUGGCUGUUCGCCAUUUAAAGUGGUACGCGAGCUGGGUUUAGAACGUCGUGAGACAGUUCGGUCCCUAUCUGCCGUGGGCGCUGGAGAACUGAGGGGGGCUGCUCCUAGUACGAGAGGACCGGAGUGGACGCAUCACUGGUGUUCGGGUUGUCAUGCCAAUGGCACUGCCCGGUAGCUAAAUGCGGAAGAGAUAAGUGCUGAAAGCAUCUAAGCACGAAACUUGCCCCGA